This 133-nucleotide ribosomal RNA is filed under the name Mycosphaerella sp. SI. RNAcentral's name for it is "5.8S ribosomal RNA". It matches the Rfam family "5.8S ribosomal RNA", at positions 3 to 135 of the family's 154-position model. From Rfam's summary of the family: 5.8S ribosomal RNA (5.8S rRNA) is a component of the large subunit of the eukaryotic ribosome. It is transcribed by RNA polymerase I as part of the 45S precursor that also contains 18S and 28S rRNA. RNAcentral also lists the same sequence under 2 other names. The record is from RNAcentral. Lineage: Eukaryota; Fungi; Ascomycota; Dothideomycetes; Mycosphaerellales; Mycosphaerellaceae.
CUUUCAACAACGGAUCUCUUGGUUCUGGCAUCGAUGAAGAACGCAGCGAAAUGCGAUAAGUAAUGUGAAUUGCAGAAUUCAGUGAAUCAUCGAAUCUUUGAACGCACAUUGCGCCCUCCGGUAUUCCGGGGGG